GAGAUGUUAACUUAAAUUUAAAGUGUCAAAUUUUUAAUUUGAAAAUGUAUUAUACACAUCUUA
RNAcentral lists this transfer RNA (63 nucleotides) under Poteriostomum imparidentatum. RNAcentral's name for it is "tRNA-Lys". It matches the Rfam family "tRNA". Rfam says of the family: Transfer RNA (tRNA) molecules are approximately 80 nucleotides in length. Their secondary structure includes four short double-helical elements and three loops (D, anti-codon, and T loops). Lineage: Eukaryota; Metazoa; Nematoda; Chromadorea; Rhabditida; Strongylidae. The record is from RNAcentral.